RNAcentral lists this ribosomal RNA (253 nucleotides) under uncultured bacterium. RNAcentral describes it as "partial 16S ribosomal RNA". It matches the Rfam family "Bacterial small subunit ribosomal RNA", at positions 524 to 776 of the family's 1533-position model. The record is from RNAcentral.
UACGGAGGGUGCGAGCGUUGUCCGGAAUCACUGGGCGUAAAGCGUGCGCAGGCGGUUCGUUGUGUCGGUGGUGAAAGCCCCGGGCUUAACCUGGGAAUGGCCAUGGAAACUGGCGAACUGGAGUGUGGCAGAGGGGGGUGGAAUUCCGCGUGUAGCAGUGAAAUGCGUAGAUAUGCGGAGGAACACCGAUGGCGAAGGCAAUCCCCUGGGCCUGCACUGACGCUCAUGCACGAAAGCGUGGGGAGCAAACAGG